Molecule: ribosomal RNA, 497 nt
Filed under: uncultured bacterium
Lineage: Bacteria
Description: partial 16S ribosomal RNA
Rfam family: Bacterial small subunit ribosomal RNA
Source: RNAcentral
GAUGAACGCUGGCGGCGUGCCUAAUACAUGCCAGUCGAGCGAACAGACGAGGAGCUUGCUCCUCUGAUGUUAGCGGCGGACGGGUGAGUAACACGUGGAUAACCUACCUAUAAGACUGGGAUAACUUCGGGAAACCGGAGCUAAUACCGGAUAACAUGUUGAACCGCAUGGUUCAACAGUGAAAGACGGUCUUGCUGUCACUUAUAGAUGGAUCCGCGCCGCAUUAGCUAGUUGGUAAGGUAACGGCUUACCAAGGCAACGAUGCGUAGCCGACCUGAGAGGGUGAUCGGCCACACUGGAACUGAGACACGGUCCAGACUCCUACGGGAGGCAGCAGUAGGGAAUCUUCCGCAAUGGGCGAAAGCCUGACGGAGCAACGCCGCGUGAGUGAAGAAGGUCUUCGGAUCGUAAAACUCUGUUAUUAGGGAAGAACAAAUGUGUAAGUAACUAUGCACGUCUUGACGGUACCUAAUCAGAAAGCCACGGCUAACUACGUG